AGCCCUUAUGUUCCAGGCCCAUCUACUUCUUCUCCUGCCUCUCACUGUUAUUUCGUUUCAGCUAUCCGCAGCUCAACCAACCGACGGAGUGAAACCUCAGAGAAAUGCUUCUUCUUUGCUUUAACACUAUAUAAUUACGAUUCUCAGUUAUGUCUUUCAAUCGUAGCUCCCACUACGUGAUCAUUAAUUUAAUUCCCCACCUCCUCUGUUAUUACGAUUUUUCUAAUCUAUAAAUAAGAUGCAAGUUUAAGAAAGCAAUGAAAAGUUAUUUACGACAUGCUAUUCCUCGACAAGCGCCACCAGCUAUCAUCUCCCACCAUCGGACAUGUGUCGCCUCUUUGAUUCUAUACCUUUAGAUAUCAUCGCCACAUGAAGGUCAUCAAUGGACAGUCUCUUAGCAAACACCCGUUCUUGGACGGAGUCAGCAUUCCCACCUAACCCCAAAAGAGAUACGAUUACAUAUUAGCACCAGCCAUAACAUGUAUAUGUCAUUAACUGUCUCACAAUUAUAAUUGGCUAUUUCAGGGGACCUCUGAUUAACGGCUACCUUUGGGACCAGGCUGCUCAUGAGUUGUACAACAAGUUCAACGAAUGUCUCGCCGGUCCUGCUGUUGUAAUAGUAACAGCAUCUAACACUAAACGUACUGGAGGCGAACCGGAGAUACUAAGCAAAGGAGAGCAAGUGUCAGCUGAAGGAAUGUUGUUGGUUUGCCUACUUCCAUUGGAAAAAUAAUUAAAAAAAUCAAAUGUAGACGGAGGUAACAAACUAAAGUGCAGAUCCUUACUAUUGGAGUGAUCUUUUCCUCAAGAUUUUUGCCUUAAACAUGAACCAAUUCAGUGGCAUUGAUGUGUCCAAAAUGCAGAGAUGCCAAUGUGACUGGAGUUGAAAUGUACCGUGGUGAAAUAUCGGUCAAUGACAAUGGCGGGAAGGAAUUUUGUGCUCCUUGGUGAUACUGGUCCUGAGCUAACAGGGAGGCAGACAACGGAGCUUAUUGACAACUACUUUGAGGCUAAUGGGGACAUGUGUGAUAACCAUGAGAUGCCAACUCCACAAUGUCUGGUGGAAGUCUCCAGCUAAAACUUUACAGUUAAGAGACAGACCAUAACUGUGACAAGGGUUGUUUUUCCUGUAGUUCUGCCACCAUCUGUAGCAGCAGAAAACUAACCUGACGCAAUCGAUGAAACAGCACAUGCUCCUCAAGUAAUUCCAUUCUGCCGUAGAUGAAGCUGAGGCAAGUGCAUCUAUCUAGGAGACUGGCGUGCAGGAGAAAGCUAAGCGCAUAAGUCAUAACUAAACCAGCCACAAUCACACCAAUCCAAUCAUUGGUUGCUUGAUAGGACCAUUCUCUAUCUCUAUCUAAGAUUUCUCUUUGUUUUUUUUACCUUCCACCUUUUGCUUAGCUUUUUUCCCAUACAAACUCUUUUUCAUAGGAUUUCCUUUUGUUGUUGCCAAAAAGGUUUUCCCUUUUGUUUUUGACCCAACAACUUUUUGCCUUUUAUGUGUAAAUACAGACGCUUAAGUUAAUAUCACAUUUACUUCUUCA
Long non-coding RNA from Raphanus sativus (radish), 1544 nucleotides. RefSeq lists it as uncharacterized. The transcript has 8 exons. NCBI's taxonomy places the organism in Eukaryota, Viridiplantae, Streptophyta, Magnoliopsida, Brassicales, Brassicaceae. The record is from RefSeq and is a predicted model, not a curated record.